This 1563-nucleotide long non-coding RNA is filed under the name Astyanax mexicanus (Mexican tetra). RNAcentral's name for it is "lncRNA (ENSAMXG00005004291.1)". Lineage: Eukaryota; Metazoa; Chordata; Actinopteri; Characiformes; Acestrorhamphidae. The record is from RNAcentral.
UGUGGGGGGGUUAUUAAGUAUAAAGUUAUUUACUGUGUGUUUUUGUGUGUGUGUGUUGCAGGUUAAGGAUGGCCCGGAUGAAUGAGGAAAUGAGGGACUCUGAGGGUUUUUUUGGAUCUGUAGGAGACGACGAAACAUUCCAGGAUAUUUUCCGUGAUUUCAGUGACAUGGCAUCACAUAACCCUGAGCGUCUGUCUCGCCGGCAGUUCAGCCGCAGUGCUGAGGAAGGAGAGGAGGAGGAUGGGGUGGAUGGAGCAGCUGGUGGGACGGAAGAUGAAAAGACGUAGUGGAAUAGCAGUGGAGGAGCCGUGGAGGAGCCUGUGGAGUUUGGAGUGGAGAUUGCUGGUCUGGGGUCGGGUGGGGGUUUAAGUUUAGCGUCAGUGUUGGGCAUUUUGGUGCUAAAAGCUGCAGAGCUGUUGACUGAACUGCAUUUGCAAAGGGAGCAUCUCUAUUUAGUUUUUAGGAGCAGCAUUUUUAUUAGCAUUUAAUAGUAACAGAUACAUUAUACAUAGAAGUUUAAUGAUUAAGUAAUUAAAUCUAUUGUGUCUUUAAACUAAUGCACUGUUAAAGCCAAUUUAUACUUUUGUGUCUAACAUACGCUGUAGCGUAUGUGUAAUGGCAAAUCAUACACUGUAAUUCUUUUUCAAAAGUGAAGACUAGCGGUGUGAAGGUGAUUUUAGUUGUAGAGCAGCCGAGUGCUCAGGGUGCCCAACACUGUCCUAGUUAAGGUUUGGGGGUUUAUGGGUAAUGAGAUCAGUCAGAUUGACAGUUUAAGGGAAAACUAUUAAUUGGAGUAGAUUGAAGCUCCUCCCCGUUACAUUCCAGUCCAGCUGAUCUGAGCUCUGAAAGGUCAUAUAAUACAUUUCAUAACAGUUCUGUGAAUAGAUUUAUAUUUAUUAAUAUUUAAAGUUUUAACUGCAUUUCAAAUAUUGAAUUUAGCUGUCAGAGAAUAACUGAACUGAGCUGAAAUAUUAAUCAGGUAUUAACACAACAUUAAUUAUUAAUGAUAAUUAUUAAUAACCUUACACUGCUUUAAAAAAUAGCUCAAUCAAUCAUAUUCUGAAUCAAAUUAACAUAUAAACUAUAUAGUUGUAGAUAUUACCUUUGUGGUUUAAUAUUUUUGUAAUAUUAGCUUAAAGUCGAUUAUGCAAGAUAUCAAACACAAAAAAAAAAUUAUAAUGAUGAAACUGGCACUCAUUAGGAUCGCCCCAGCAAAGUAAGAGAAAAAGUUCCCUCUGUUCCAUAGGAUAUGUUCAUCAGAGUUACCAGUCUCAGAAACCACGAGUUAACAGCUCCACAGAUAAGAGCACCUAAAUGCUUUACAGAGUAUUUAGUAUUUUGGUUUGUUUAACACUUUUAAGUUACUACAUGAUUCCUUAUGUGUUCCUUCAUAGAUCACUUCACUAUUCAUUUACUAUGUAGGAAAAAAUAUUGUCCAAACUUAUAUGAUACAAGCUCCUAACUAUGAACCAGAACCAAUUUAAAACAAGAAAUGUCUAAAAAUUGUGAUUUGCCUCACAUAUUAAAGACUUUCGAAUAAAUACAUAGAAAAAUGUAAGAACA